AAACUAGACAAGGACAUUUCCUGAACAUAAUGUGUGCCUGCUUGUAUUGAAGUAGGCUAAUAAUGGUAGAAGUGUGAAGGGCUUGUAGCUGGUGUAGUCUAUGGAGCUUAAAAUGCAAAUAUGAAAUGGCUUUAGUUGAAAGAGUAGUUAAAUAGCAGUGGUGGAAAAAGUACCCAAUUGUCCUACAUAAAAGUAAGAUACCUUAAUAGAAAAUCAAGUAAAAGUGAAAGUCACCCAGUAAAAUACUACUUAAAUAAAAGUCUAAAGGUAUUUGGUUUUAAAUAUACUGUAAUGAAACGGCAGGGAGCAGGUCUUCGAGCCCGAGGUCCGGCGCGCUAUCGACUGUCCGCAAAAGCAUGCUCGAGCGGCAGAAUCGAUUUCCGCGCUUAUAAACCCAGGUUCGUUACACUACUCCCUCCUUUCAAAGAGCGCGUCCUCGCGCUAGCUUGCGACUCUAGGUCUUACAGGAACGCGCUCACCGGCCAAGCACACGCACUGUCGUGUAUGCAAGGUCCGAUCACUUCUGACACCAGUGUAAUGAAACAGGCAUGGAGCACGUCUCGAACCCUCGACCUUCGAGCCCGCGGUCCGGCGCGCUAUCGACUGUGUCGCAAAAGCAUGUUCGAGCGGCAGCGUCGAUUUCCGCUGAAAACCCAGGGUCGUCACACUACUGAAGUAUCAAAAGUAAAUGUAGCCUAUAAAUAAUUUCAAAUUCCAUGUAUUAACAAAACCAGAAGGCACAAUGUUCUUGUUGUUUUAAUUUACGGAUAGCCAGGAGCACACUCCAACACUUUUACAAACAAAGUGUGUGUGUUUUGUGAGUAGGGCCAUCAGAGGCAGUAAGGAUGACCAGAGCUGUUCUCUUGAUAAGUGCGUGAAUUGGACAAUUUUCCUGUCCUGCUAAGCAUUCAAAAUGCAACAAGUACUUUUGGGUGUCAGGGAAGAUGUUUGAAAUGAAAAGUACAUUAUUUAGGGCCUCCCCAUAGGCGCAGCAAUCUAAGCAUCACUACAGCCUGGGGUUCGAUUCCAGGCUGUGUCAUUACCGGCUGUGACCGGGAGUCCCAUAGGGCGGUUCACAAUAUGCCCAGCAGGUUAGUGCAGGGUUUUGGGGAGGCUUUACUUGGCACAUCUUGCUAUCUAGCCUGCAGGCAGACCUCUGUUGUCAGUUGAACAGUGUAUCCUCUGACAUGUUGGUGCAGCUAAAAAGUAAAAGUACUACUUGAGUAGUUUUUGGGGGGAUUUGUACUUUAUUAAGGUACUUUACACCACUGGUAAAUAGUACCCACAGAGAUCCUUUUUGGUAAUCUACCUUUCUACCUCACUGACAGUCCAUUCAAUCUGAUGUGAAUUCCAUAAUACAUGGUAAUGUGGCAUUUGUUUGUUUGUUUGUCCAGUUUCUCUUCUCUCUAGAAGAGGAAUGGUUUGGAGCAACCCAUCCUGGAGUGGGAUGGGAGCUCACUCUCCCUGCUGCCCUGGUUGUUUUUGGUGUGAUAUUACUAUGGAGGACCGUCCUUGCGAUCAAAAGCAGGAUACGUCUAUGUGAGUUUUCCUACCUUUCAUUAAGUAGCUCAGAUGAGGAGAAGAAAGCUUUUGUACUUACAUUUUAUACAGUAGAUGUAGCUCCUUAGUCAUGCCUGAACCAAGACUAAUUUCAUAUUCCCAUCUGUAUCGCCAGUGACUGAGACACAGCUAAACGUGAAACUCGCCCAGCUAUCGAAAAACAAAUGUGACAUAAUGAUUCAAUUGUCUGAAAUGGAGA
Oncorhynchus tshawytscha (Chinook salmon) is the source of this 1759-nucleotide long non-coding RNA. Lineage: Eukaryota; Metazoa; Chordata; Actinopteri; Salmoniformes; Salmonidae. The record is from Ensembl.